UCCCGUUUAACACGGGCAGUCUCCUAUGAGUCCCCGACAUAACUCGCUGGUAACAUAGGACAAGGGUUGCGCUCGUUGCGGGACUUAACCCAACAUCUCACGACACGAGCUGACGACAGCCAUGCACCACCUGUUAUGGGCCCUUUCGGACACCACAUCUCUGUGGCUUUUCCCAUAAUGUCAAACCCAGGUAAGGUUCUUCGGGUCGCAUCGAAUUAAGCCGCAUGCUCCGCCGCUUGUGCGGGGACCCGUCAAUUCCUUUGAGUUUUAGCCUUGCGGCCGUACUCCCCAGGCGGGAUGCUUAAUGCGUUAGCUUCGGCACGGACGGAGUCGACACCGCCCACACCUAGCAUCCAUCGUUUACGGCGUGGACUAC
Molecule: unclassified non-coding RNA, 376 nt
Filed under: uncultured Acidimicrobiia bacterium
Lineage: Bacteria; Bacillati; Actinomycetota; Acidimicrobiia
Description: contains 16S-23S intergenic spacer region
Source: RNAcentral